UAACUCUGAAUUAUCAAAGAUUGACUUAAAUGUGGAAAAUGAGGCAAAUGUUGGCUUAUUCAAUUUUUCCUCUAAAUAAUGAAUAUCAAUUUGAGAUUAGACAAAACUUCCUCCAACACCACCUGUGAACUCUAAACCCUUUCACCAUAGCAGUAGCAGUUUAUGAGCUAAAAUAAUUUUCCAAAAUCAUCUCAGUGUCUGCUUGUUGGCGGUUUCGAACUUGCGUCGUCUAUAUCUCCGGCGACUGGCUAGCCGUUGAUGUCAGCAAGUCAACGGGUCAGACUUAUUCCCCCUCUUACUCUAUCUUCCUCACUUCCUCUUCCACUUCAGUUUAAAUCUUAAUAUGUGUGAAUUCGGAUUAUUUUCGAUGAUCAUAUUUGUAAGUUUGCUCUAAAUAUCAACUGCUAAAAUGGUUUAUUAAUUACUAUUACUGUCUUUAUUUGAUUUGUUAAAUAAUAAUUACUAUCCGUCUAUCCCCUUCUGGGUUUUGUUAAUUCCCAUAAUAUGCAUAGAUAAUUUGUUUUACUUUCUGGAGCUGAAGUUAAUAAUAGUACACUUUGGCUUUAUCUUGAUUGCUAAUUUUAUGGGUUGCUUAGUUUGUGUUUGGACGAAGUCAUUAGUUAGGAAACCUCGAAAUAGGGUAUAUGUAGACUUAUCAAUUCCUUUAAUUGCAAAACUUAGAUGGUGCACACGCUAGUACAUAAAGCAUGGUACACACGCUAGUAGGAGCCAUAUUGGGUCACGUGACCCCGCAAAUUAAAAAAAAAAUUAAAGAUUUUUCAGGAAAAAAAAAUAAAAAAAAGAAAAUAGUGAAGCGCAGCAGUGCAGCAUUAAACGACUAAAAUGUCAAUUUCUGCUUCUUGUCUUUUUGGUCCACUUUCAUAUACUCCAUCUGUCCCAUAUUAUAGUGCUUCUUUCCUUUUAAGGUGUCCCAAAAAUAUAAUUCUUGUUUCCAUUUUUUAUUCCACACAUUUCUAUGAUUUUCCUAGAAAAAUUGUGCCACCAUUAUUUAUUUGCUUGUUGAAAAUAGUUUUUUUGCUUUGUUUAUUCAACUCAAAGGUUGAAUGAGUCAUGCAUUUAAUUCUCUUUCACCACUUAUGGUCAUUCUCUCUCCUGAAAUCAACUUUUCCCCAUAACAUUUAUUUUCAAUACACAAACACUCUUUACAUUUCUCUUAGAUUCUAUUUACCUUAAUAAACGUAAAAAAAAUAGAAUCAGACACUAGAAUAUAAGACAGAGGGAGUAUUAAUUAUUGUGGUCCCCAAUUUCCCAACUCCUAAUUUUUAUCAGAUUUUAAAUUAUAUUAAAAAUUAAAAACCAUUUAAUUUUGAAAACAUAAUUGCUAUAUACAGCAAAGGAAAAGGCUAAAUACAACAUCUAAAAUUAUGGCUAACUUAACCAUGGUUAAUUAAAUUUUUUUUUAAUAAUAUAAUUACACAAUUAUUACUCACCUCAUACCAAAUUUGAGAAUAUAAUUUCACUCACCACAAACACUUUUUCCUUUACCGCGUAAGUAAUAUUUUAUAUUUUUCGGGUUGCGAUUAUGGAAAUGAGGUCAUUUAUCAUAGAUGACCCCCCAAAGCGGGGUCAUUUGUCAUAGAUGACCCUCCCUUAGGGGGGUCAUUUGUCAGAUGAUCCCCCAAGAAUAGGUUAGUCUUUUAAUAUGUUUUGCUGUAUUUAACCUUUUUUUUUUUUUUUUUUUUUUUUUUUGGUUAUAGCACAUCCCUUUGAAAACUAACAAUUUCUCAAUCCUUCCUUACCCAAUUCUCACGCUUAAUUUUUUUUUUACCUCACUCUCACUGUCUCACUGAGUCGCUGCCCACUGCCCACUGCCCAGACGCCCAGACCUCGCCGCCGUCCGCCGCACUGCACCGCACCGGCACCGCGGCCUCCUCCGACCUCUGACCAGCCCGCAGCCGGUAGCCAUCGCCCAUCAGAAUGAGGAGGAUAAUAGAGGGAUAUUUCGAGUGUUCUUUCGAAAGGAUACAUACUCUACUCUCUAAUGGUUGGUAGUACUCUUAUUUAAAAUCUUGGAAGCGCCAUUAUUUGCAAGUAAUGCUUCAAUUCCACCCAUUCUAUUCUUUGCCGCGAUUUGUACCUGUAAUCCCAACAAAGUUCUCCAACCAGCUGAGUUUCGAGCAGCACUACCGCCAUCUUUGUGACCUUUUUGUUACUUUUACACGCUCUCGGGCACUCUUAAAAGGCCUCCAACUCCAUGCUCAUGUCUUCAAAUUAGGAUUCCAAUCUAUUCCUCUUGUUGCCCAUCACUUGAUCAACUUCUAUUCGAAAUCUCAGCUUCCCGCUUUUUCCCGCCAAAUCUUUGACGAAACGCCUGUCAAAGUUUCUAGUACCUGGAACUCGGUUAUCUCUGCUCUUUCCCAAAAUGAACUCCCUUAUGUUGCUCUUGAGCUGUUCCAUCAAAUGCUGGAAAACGAGUUUCGGCCUGAUGACCAUACAUACCCAAGUGCGAUAAAGUCAUGUGCGAUUUUGGGGAGGGUUGAUGUUGGAAGAUUGAUUCAUGGUGUUGUGGUGAAAACUGGGUAUGAGAGGGAUUUGUUUGUAGCAAGCUCAAUGGUGGAUAUGUACGGGAAAUGUGGGGAGAUUUGGGAUGCACGGAAAAUAUUUGACGAAAUGCCUCAUAGAAAUGUAGUGUCUUGGACUGGAAUGAUUUUUGGAUAUGCGCAAUUGGGUGAAAAUGAGGAAGCCCUCAGGUUGUUUAGGUUUGCUCUAGAGGAGGGUGUAGAUGUUAAUGAUUUUACGUUCUCGAGUGUGCUUCAUGUAUGUGGUAAUGUGACACUUUUGGAAUUGGGGAAGCAAAUUCAUGGCUUGUGCUUAAAGAAGAGUUAUCAUACAUCAAGUUUCGUUGGGAGUGGCUUGAUCUCGUUGUACUCUAAGUGUGGGAUCAUAGAAGGCGCGUAUCAUGCAUUUGAUGAAGUGAAGAUAAAGAAUGUUGGGAUGUGGAAUUCUAUGUUGAUUGCUUGCGCUCAACAUGCUCAUACUUCAAAGGUGCUGGAAAUGUUCCAUAGUAUGGAAACUGAUGGAACUAAACCCAACUUCAUCACCUUCUUGUCUUUGCUUUAUGCCUGCAGUCAUUCUGGAUUGGUUAAACAAGGGCGGUUUUACUUUGACCUUAUGAAAAAGUACGGAGUUGAACCAGGACACCAACAUUAUGCCACCUUAGUUGAUUUACUAGGCCGUGCUGGGAAGUUGGAAGAGGCAUUUGCAGUUAUUAAGGAGAUGCCCAUUGAACCAACUGAGUCAGUUUGGGGUGCUUUAUUGACUGGUUGCCGACUACAUGGCAAAACGGAAUUAGCAGCCUAUGCUGCUGACAAGGUUUUGGAGUUAGGAAAUGUGGGUUCUGGCAUAUUUGUGUUAUUAUCUAAUGCUUAUGCAGCAGCUGGAAGACUCCAAGACGCAGCUAAUGUUAGGAAGAUGUUAAGGGAUAAAGGGAUAAAGAAGGAAACAGGCUUAAGCUGGGUUGAGGAAGGAAACAGAAUUCAUGCUUUUGCUGCUGGGGACAGAUGUCAUCCGAAAUCCAAGCAGAUAUAUGAGAAAUUGGAGGAAUUGGAGGAUGAGUUGGAGCGAGCUGGGUAUGUUGCUGACACUAGUUUUGUUUUGCAACCAGUGGAUGAUGAUGCUAAAAAACAAGCAAUUAGGUAUCAUAGCGAGAGACUAGCAAUCGCUUUUGCGUUAAUCAGCUUCACACGUGACAGGCCUAUUCGGAUUAUGAAAAACUUGCGUGUAUGUGGUGAUUGUCACACUGCUAUCAAGUUUAUGUCCAAGUGCACUGGAAGAACAAUUAUUGUGAGAGACAAUAGCAGAUUUCAUAGGUUUGAGGAUGGGAAAUGCUCAUGUGGGGACUACUGGUCUGCGGUCCCUCUUUGUAUCUCCCUCCUUUUCAACAUCUUUUCCCUCGCUACUGGCCUCAUCCUCACUUCCUGAAACCAUGUUUAAUAUCAUUGAGGGAAUCAGAUAGACAUUGAUGAUGACUGCCUCUCAUCAACGAGAUUUGCAUGUGGGUGCAAAUUAAUUUUUCUAGGUGAACGCAUUCAAGAAAGCAGCAUUAGAUAACUUUGUUUGUACGAUUGUUUGGGAAAGAUCUCCUCUUGCUUGUUUCCAUGAAGCUU
RNA transcript from Beta vulgaris subsp. vulgaris (sugar beet), 4127 nucleotides. RefSeq lists it as uncharacterized. The record is from RefSeq and is a predicted model, not a curated record. The transcript has 4 exons. Lineage: Eukaryota; Viridiplantae; Streptophyta; Magnoliopsida; Caryophyllales; Amaranthaceae.